GACGAACGCUGGCGGCGUGCCUAAUACAUGCAAGUAGAACGCUGAAGGAGGAGCUUGCUCUUCUGGAUGAGUUGCGAACGGGUGAGUAACGCGUAUGUAACCUGCCUGGUAGCGUGGGAUAACUAUUGGAAACGAUAGCUAAUACCGCAUAACAGUAGAUGUUGCGUGACAUUUACUUAAAAGUUGCACUUUCAUCACUACAAGGUGGAGCUGGGUGGUUUUAUCUAGUGGGGGGGUAAACGGCACACCAAGGAGGCGAUCAAUAUCGGCCUUGAGAGGGGAUUGGCCAACCUGGGACUGGGACAACGCCCAGACUCCUACGGGAGGCAGCAGUAGGGAAUCUUCGGCAAUGGACGGAAGUCUGACCGCGCAACGCCGCGGGAGUGAAGAAGGGUUUCGGAUCGGAAAGCUCUGUUGUAAGGGAAGGACGAGUGUGAGAGUGGAAAGUUCACGCUGUGACGGUAUCUUACCAGAAAGGGACGGCUAACUACGUG
Molecule: ribosomal RNA, 494 nt
Filed under: uncultured bacterium
Lineage: Bacteria
Description: partial 16S ribosomal RNA
Rfam family: Bacterial small subunit ribosomal RNA
Source: RNAcentral